This 253-nucleotide ribosomal RNA is filed under the name uncultured bacterium. Its description in RNAcentral is "partial 16S ribosomal RNA". It matches the Rfam family "Bacterial small subunit ribosomal RNA", at positions 524 to 776 of the family's 1533-position model. The record is from RNAcentral.
UACGAAGGGGGCUAGCGUUGUUCGGAAUCACUGGGCGUAAAGCGCAUGUAGGCGGGUCUUUAAGUCAGGGGUGAAAUGCCAAGGCUCAACCUUGGAACUGCCUUUGAUACUGGAGACCUUGAGUCCGGGAGAGGUGAGUGGAACUGCGAGUGUAGAGGUGAAAUUCGUAGAUAUUCGCAAGAACACCAGUGGCGAAGGCGGCUCACUGGCCCGGUACUGACGCUGAGAUGCGAAAGCGUGGGGAGCAAACAGG